This 402-nucleotide ribosomal RNA is filed under the name uncultured bacterium. RNAcentral's name for it is "bacterial SSU rRNA". It matches the Rfam family "Bacterial small subunit ribosomal RNA", at positions 355 to 774 of the family's 1533-position model. The record is from RNAcentral.
UGGGGAAUAUUGGACAAUGGGCGCAAGCCUGAUCCAGCCAUGCCGCGUGAGUGAUGAAGGCCUUAGGGUUGUAAAGCUCUUUCACCGGAGAAGAUAAUGACGGUAUCCGGAGAAGAAGCCCCGGCUAACUUCGUGCCAGCAGCCGCGGUAAUACGAAGGGGGCUAGCGUUGUUCGGAAUUACUGGGCGUAAAGCGCACGUAGGCGGACUUUUAAGUCAGGGGUGAAAUCCCGGGGCUCAACCCCGGAACUGCCUUUGAUACUGGAAGUCUGGAGUAUGGAAGAGGUAAGUGGAAUUCCGAGUGUAGAGGUGAAAUUCGUGGAUAUUCGGAGAAACACGAGUGGCGAAGGCGGCUUACUGGUCCAUUACUGACGAUGAGGUGCGAAAGCGUGGGGAGAAAACA